Molecule: ribosomal RNA, 471 nt
Filed under: uncultured bacterium
Lineage: Bacteria
Description: bacterial SSU rRNA
Rfam family: Bacterial small subunit ribosomal RNA
Source: RNAcentral
AGAGUUUGAUCCUGGCUCAGGAUGAACGCUGGCGGCGUGCUUAACACAUGCAAGUAGAACGAACCUUCGGGUUAGUGGCGGACGGGUGAGUAACGCGUGGGAAUCUGCCCUCAGGAGGGGGAUAACGGCCGGAAACGGCCGCUAAUACCCCAUAUGCCGAGAGGUGAAAUGAAUUUCGCCUGAGGAUGAGCCCGCGUCUGAUUAGCUAGUUGGUGGGGUAAGAGCCCACCAAGGCGACGAUCAGUAGCUGGUCUGAGAGGAUGAUCAGCCACACUGGGACUGAGACACGGCCCAGACUCCUACGGGAGGCAGCAGUGGGGAAUUUUCCGCAAUGGGCGAAAGCCUGACGGAGCAAUGCCGCGUGAGGGAUGAAGGCCUCUGGGCUGUAAACCUCUUUUCUCAAGGAAGAAGACAUGACGGUACUUGAGGAAUAAGCCACGGCUAAGUCCGUGCCAGCCGCCGCGGUAAUUC